This 321-nucleotide unclassified non-coding RNA is filed under the name uncultured fungus. RNAcentral's name for it is "sequence contains ITS1". The stretch from base 1 to 105 matches the Rfam family "5.8S ribosomal RNA", at positions 50 to 154 of the family's 154-position model. Lineage: Eukaryota; Fungi. The record is from RNAcentral.
GAAAUGCGAUAAGUAAUGUGAAUUGCAGAAUUCCGUGAAUCAUCGAGUCUUUGAACGCACAUUGCGCUCCCUGGUAUUCCGGGGAGCAUGCCUGUCCGAGCGUCAUUUUCAACCCUCCAAGCCUGGCUUGUGUGAUGGGCCAGCGUCCCCACGACCUUCCGGGAGGGGGACGGGCCCGAAAUGCAGUGGUGAUGUCUAGGUUGACGACCCGAGUGUAUGGGGCUCUGUCACACGCUCGCGGUAUGCCUUUCGACACCCGCCUUUAAACCUUUCCUUUCUAAAGUUGACCUCGGAUCAGGUAGGGAUACCCGCUGAACUUAA